GACGAACGCUGGCGGCGUGCUUAACACAUGCAAGUCGAACGGAAAGGCCCUGCUUUUGUGGGGUGCUCGAGUGGCGAACGGGUGAGUAACACGUGAGUAACCUGCCCUUGACUUUGGGAUAACUUCAGGAAACUGGGGCUAAUACCGGAUAGGAGCUCCUGCUGCAUGGUGGGGGUUGGAAAGUUUCGGCGGUUGGGGAUGGACUCGCGGCUUAUCAGCUUGUUGGUGGGGUAGUGGCUUACCAAGGCUUUGACGGGUAGCCGGCCUGAGAGGGUGACCGGCCACAUUGGGACUGAGAUACGGCCCAGAAUCAUACGGGAGGCAGGAGUGGAGAAUAUUGCACAAUGGGCGGAAGCCGGAUGCAGCAACGCCGCGUGAGGAUGACGGCCUUCGGGUUGUAAACCGCUUUCGCCUGUGACGAAGCGUGAGUGACGGUAAUGGGUAAAGAAGCACCGGAUAACUACGUG
RNAcentral lists this ribosomal RNA (467 nucleotides) under uncultured bacterium. RNAcentral's name for it is "partial 16S ribosomal RNA". It matches the Rfam family "Bacterial small subunit ribosomal RNA", at positions 28 to 507 of the family's 1533-position model. The record is from RNAcentral.